GCAUUGGUGGUUCAGUGGUAGAAUUCUCGCCUGCCGCGCGGGAGACCCGGUUUCGAUUCCCAGCCAAUGCA
Non-coding RNA from Danio rerio (zebrafish), 71 nucleotides. NCBI's taxonomy places the organism in Eukaryota, Metazoa, Chordata, Actinopteri, Cypriniformes, Danionidae. The record is from Rfam.